This 414-nucleotide ribosomal RNA is filed under the name bacterium enrichment culture clone ALO1_GLFRUDD03HCV6H. Its description in RNAcentral is "bacterial SSU rRNA". It matches the Rfam family "Bacterial small subunit ribosomal RNA", at positions 9 to 425 of the family's 1533-position model. The record is from RNAcentral.
GAGUUUGAUCCUGGCUCAGAUUGAACGCUGGCGGCAUGCCUUACACAUGCAAGUCGAACGGCAGCACGGGAGCUUGCUCCUGGUGGCGAGUGGCGAACGGGUGAGUAAUGCAUCGGAACGUAUCCUGGAGUGGGGGAUAACGUAGCGAAAGUUACGCUAAUACCGCAUAUUCUGUGAGCAGGAAAGCGGGGGACCUUCGGGCCUCGCGCUCUUGGAGCGGCCGAUGUCGGAUUAGCUAGUUGGUGAGGUAAAGGCUCACCAAGGCGACGAUCCGUAGCAGGUCUGAGAGGAUGAUCUGCCACACUGGAACUGGGACACGGUCCAGACUCCUACGGGAGGCAGCAGUGGGGAAUUUUGGACAAUGGGGGCAACCCUGGUCCAGCCAUGCCGCGUGAGUGAAGAAGGCCUCGGUUG